RNAcentral lists this ribosomal RNA (946 nucleotides) under Enterococcus faecalis. RNAcentral's name for it is "bacterial SSU rRNA". It matches the Rfam family "Bacterial small subunit ribosomal RNA", at positions 23 to 938 of the family's 1533-position model. The record is from RNAcentral. Lineage: Bacteria; Bacillati; Bacillota; Bacilli; Lactobacillales; Enterococcaceae.
CUCAGGACGAACGCUGGCGGCGUGCCUAAUACAUGCAAGUCGAACGCUUCUUUCCUCCCGAGUGCUUGCACUCAAUUGGAAAGAGGAGUGGCGGACGGGUGAGUAACACGUGGGUAACCUACCCAUCAGAGGGGGAUAACACUUGGAAACAGGUGCUAAUACCGCAUAACAGUUUAUGCCGCAUGGCAUAAGAGUGAAAGGCGCUUUCGGGUGUCGCUGAUGGAUGGACCCGCGGUGCAUUAGCUAGUUGGUGAGGUAACGGCUCACCAAGGCCACGAUGCAUAGCCGACCUGAGAGGGUGAUCGGCCACACUGGGACUGAGACACGGCCCAGACUCCUACGGGAGGCAGCAGUAGGGAAUCUUCGGCAAUGGACGAAAGUCUGACCGAGCAACGCCGCGUGAGUGAAGAAGGUUUUCGGAUCGUAAAACUCUGUUGUUAGAGAAGAACAAGGACGUUAGUAACUGAACGUCCCCUGACGGUAUCUAACCAGAAAGCCACGGCUAACUACGUGCCAGCAGCCGCGGUAAUACGUAGGUGGCAAGCGUUGUCCGGAUUUAUUGGGCGUAAAGCGAGCGCAGGCGGUUUCUUAAGUCUGAUGUGAAAGCCCCCGGCUCAACCGGGGAGGGUCAUUGGAAACUGGGAGACUUGAGUGCAGAAGAGGAGAGUGGAAUUCCAUGUGUAGCGGUGAAAUGCGUAGAUAUAUGGAGGAACACCAGUGGCGAAGGCGGCUCUCUGGUCUGUAACUGACGCUGAGGCUCGAAAGCGUGGGGAGCAAACAGGAUUAGAUACCCUGGUAGUCCACGCCGUAAACGAUGAGUGCUAAGUGUUGGAGGGUUUCCGCCCUUACAGUGCUGCAGCAAACGCAUUAAGCACUCCGCCUGGGGAGUACGACCGCAAGGUUGAAACUCAAAGGAAUUGACGGGGGCCCGCACAAGCGGUGGAGC